UACGUAGGGAGCAAGCGUUGUCCGGAUUUACUGGGUGUAAAGGGUGCGUAGGCGGUUCUGCAAGUCAGUUGUGAAAACUAUGGGCUUAACCCAUAGCCUGCAAUUGAAACUGUGGGACUUGAGUGAAGUAGAGGUAGGUGGAAUUCCCGGUGUAGCGGUGAAAUGCGUAGAGAUCGGGAGGAACACCAGUGGCGAAGGCGGCCUACUGGGCUUUAACUGACGCUGAAGCACGAAAGCAUGGGUAGCAAACAGGAUUAGAUACCCUGGUAGUCCAUGCCGUAAACGAUGAUUACUAGGUGUGGGGGGUCUGACCCCUUCCGUGCCGGAGUUAACACAAUAAGUAAUCCACCUGGGGAGUACGACCGCAAGGUUGAA
This 375-nucleotide ribosomal RNA is filed under the name uncultured bacterium. RNAcentral's name for it is "bacterial SSU rRNA". It matches the Rfam family "Bacterial small subunit ribosomal RNA", at positions 524 to 898 of the family's 1533-position model. The record is from RNAcentral.